Cephus cinctus (wheat stem sawfly) is the source of this 933-nucleotide long non-coding RNA. RefSeq lists it as uncharacterized. The transcript is spliced from 3 exons. NCBI's taxonomy places the organism in Eukaryota, Metazoa, Arthropoda, Insecta, Hymenoptera, Cephidae. The record is from RefSeq and is a predicted model, not a curated record.
UUAUAUACGAGGGUGGAACACUGGACGUGAAACAUCCAGAGAAUCCACGAGUCCCUCGAGGCGGAUCGGGCCUCCUCCUUAGUGCCAAUACUAAUAAUCCAUACGUUUCUACGUAUAUCCGAAUACAUACGUGUAUAUAUAUAUAUAUAUCACCCAGAUUUCAAGGGUGAUCCAGUAACGGUCACGUAUCCGGAUAUCACCUUAUGGAACCCGUAAAGCAGCUAGCAAGUCUGGAUAUAAGCUAGGAAGAAGCCUGAAGAUAAAAUCCCAGAACCCGCUACAAAACAUUACUAGACGAAGUACCCAACGUAUCUAGGGAAUUAUUUUAAUAAAAUUUUCAACCGACCCUCCUACAAGAAUUAGCCGCCGCACUUACCCAACAUAACGAUGACUCCCAGUAAGCCUUCGGAUCAUUUUCGAUAACAAGCAACAAGACAGUCUUGAGGUGUGACGUAGUGGAAUGUUCGCCAUCUUGAAUUUUGUCACAGCGACGAUUCCACGGGAAUCAACUGUCCACCUUGGAUCUCGAGAUCAAGGACACGUCGCUCAACGAAGAAGUUGGACCUGCAACUGAGUACCCAAGAUGACGUUCGCUUAGGGUGGACGUCAACUGAAGUCCGGCUACCCGGAGUCAAUGACGGCUACCCAGGAAGCGAUAACGUGUCCGACCUCCUGUUCUUGAAACACGUUAAUAACCGGACGGGAGAGACGCUUCUAAGUUCCUGGACCAUCAAAGACAGACCUCGUUAUUGGGAGUGACAUCGGGAACGUCCUGGGAUCAAGGACCGGUAUCUAAAACUAACCAAAAGGAUCCUAUGGAUACAUUAUGCGCAUUCUGCGGGUGAGCCUUAAGGGUAAGGCUGUGCUUGGAAGCUGCAUGCAGUGGGACUUCUGGUGCAAGGGAUGGGCGUCGAGGACUUGACUGCAUUUGAU